This is a long non-coding RNA of Balaenoptera ricei (Rice's whale), 849 nucleotides long. RefSeq lists it as uncharacterized. NCBI's taxonomy places the organism in Eukaryota, Metazoa, Chordata, Mammalia, Artiodactyla, Balaenopteridae. The record is from RefSeq and is a predicted model, not a curated record. The transcript has 3 exons.
GCCUAUGCCUUUGUUUAGACAAGGCCAAGUGGUGGGUGCUUGGAGACACCUGCUUUCCACCUAGAUGUUUGGCCCUGGGGAAUACACAGAAGAUUUGUCACAAGGACUGGGAGAACCUCUCUUCAUAGAAGCCCUGAUCAGGUUGCCUGCUGUUGUCACGAGAGUGAAUGAAUGGUGUCUGGGUUCCGUCCCCUCGAUGCAGUGAUUUUGGACCUGCAGUAGCUACAGUACUCCUCUCCAAGGGGCAAUCCCCUCCCUCCAGAGACGACUGCCAGGCAACUCAGGACUAGUGUGGGAACUUCUGCUCGUCCUCACUGAAAGCUCCCUGGCCAGGCCCCUGCUCCUGGCGCAUGGUGAUGUAACUGAGACUCAGAGAGGACAAGUGAUCAUCCCAAGGUCACCCUUCCAGGAAGUGGCAGCAUCAGGACCAGGGCCCCAGCCUGAGUUUAAGUCACACACUUCUUCCUGCUGCCAAGAUUCUCAUCCACAGAAGAGAGAACAAGAGGUUUCCCUGCUGGGGGCUUCCCCAGUGGCGCCGUGGUUAAGAAUCUGCCUGCCAAUGCAGGGGACACGGGUUUGAGCCCUGGCCCGGAAGAUUCCACAUGCCACGGAGCAACUAAGCUCGUGCGCCACAACUACUGAGCCUGCACUCUAGAGCUUGCGAGCCACAACUACUGAAGCCCGUGCGCCCUAGAGCCUGUGUGCUGCAACUACUGAGUCCACGUGCUGCAACUACUGAAGCCCGUGUGCUGCAACUACUGAAGCCCGUGUGUCUAGAGCCUUUGCUCUGCAACAAGAGAAGCCACCGCAUUGAGAAGCCCGAGCACUGCAAUGAAGAGUGCCUUGUGA